RNAcentral lists this non-coding RNA (26 nucleotides) under Mus musculus (house mouse). The record is from RNAcentral. Lineage: Eukaryota; Metazoa; Chordata; Mammalia; Rodentia; Muridae.
UGUGAAAACUGUGUCCAUACUGCUGC